GAAAGAUUGAUCCAGUUACUUAUUAGGAUGAUUGAUUAAAAAUAAAAUCCAUAAAUAAUUAAAAUAAUGAUAUUAAUUACUAGUCCUGACAAAUAUUUGUGCCAGCAGUCGCGGUAACACAAAGAGGGCGAGCGUUAAUCACAAUGGUUUAAAGGAUCCGUAGAAUUAGAGUUAAUAGAUUUAAUUAAAGAAUUAUAAUAGUAAAGAUGAAAUAAUAAUAAUAAUUAUAAGACUAAUAUAUGUGAAAAUAUUAAUUAACUAUUAACUGACAUUGAGGGAUUAAAACUAGAGUAGCGAAACGGAUUCGAUACCCGUGUAGUUCUAGUAGUAAACUAUGAAUACAAAUGAAAAUGUAAGUAUUCCACCUGAAGAGUACGUUAGCAAUAAUGAAACUCAAUACAAUAGACGGUUACAGACUUAAGCAGUGGAGCAU
RNAcentral lists this ribosomal RNA (433 nucleotides) under Saccharomyces pastorianus. Its description in RNAcentral is "partial small subunit ribosomal RNA". It matches the Rfam family "Bacterial small subunit ribosomal RNA", at positions 377 to 940 of the family's 1533-position model. Lineage: Eukaryota; Fungi; Ascomycota; Saccharomycetes; Saccharomycetales; Saccharomycetaceae. The record is from RNAcentral.